UACGUAGGGUGCAAGCGUUAAUCGGAAUUACUGGGCGUAAAGCGUGCGCAGGAGGUUUUGUAAGUCUGUCGUGAAAGCCCCGGGCUCAACCUGGGAAUUGCGAUGGAGACUGCAAGGCUUGAAUCUGGCAGAGGGGGGUAGAAUUCCACGUGUAGCAGUGAAAUGCGUAGAGAUGUGGAGGAACACCGAUGGCGAAGGCAGCCCCCUGGGUCAAGAUUGACGCUCAUGCACGAAAGCGUGGGGAGCAAACAGG
This 253-nucleotide ribosomal RNA is filed under the name uncultured bacterium. RNAcentral describes it as "partial 16S ribosomal RNA". It matches the Rfam family "Bacterial small subunit ribosomal RNA", at positions 524 to 776 of the family's 1533-position model. The record is from RNAcentral.